RNAcentral lists this ribosomal RNA (400 nucleotides) under uncultured bacterium. Its description in RNAcentral is "bacterial SSU rRNA". It matches the Rfam family "Bacterial small subunit ribosomal RNA", at positions 355 to 772 of the family's 1533-position model. The record is from RNAcentral.
UGAGGAAUCUUCCGCAAUGGGCGAAAGCCUGACGGAGCGACACCGCGUGGAGGAUGACGCGUUUAUUCGUGUAAACUCCUUUUCUAUGGGAAGAUAAUGACGGUACCAUAGGAAUAAGGGACGGCUAACUACGUGCCAGCAGCCGCGGUAAUACGUAGGUCCCGAGCGUUAUCCGGAAUUACUGGGCGUAAAGAGUUCGUAGGCGGUCCGUUAAGUUCGGCAUGAAAGACCGGGGCUCAACCCCGAGUUUGUGCCGGAUACUGGCGGACUCGAAUCCGGGAGAGGUUGGCAGAAUGGUACGAGUAGGGGUGCAAUCCGUUGAUACGUACUGGAAUACCGAAAGCGAAGGCAGCCAACUGGAACGGUAUUGACGCUGAGGAACGAAAGCGUGGGGAGCGAA